UAUGGCUGACUUUGGUAACUCAUUUCUUUGCAGUGUCAGAGGGACUGGAUGUAAAGCAGAGAUAAAAAGAAGAGGCUGGAGGAGCACAGUCAGAAGAUGCGGAGCCCUCGGCCCAGCAGACGAUAGGCACCAGAGGGAAGGUGAGUCCGGUGAGCAAGGCAAUGCACCGACAUCUAACAUGCAGUCCAACGUGAUGGGGACCCUCCCUGUAAGAGGAGACGUACGCAGCCUCACAGGGCUGAAGCCAACUCUCAAUGAGGUGCCAUCUGGCUAACCUGUGGGAGCAGAUGAGCAUUGGAGGUAUCCCAGAAGAUGACAUCACAUUGUCCAACUCUGGUCAGAGCCAGCGACCCGAGGAGCUGCUUCGGUGAGAUUGACUCCUAGUAGUCUGACGAUGGCAGGAACCUCUGAGCCAGCCCAGGUGCCCCUCCUGUGCAUCAAAGAUGGAUUGACAUCCCCGGCUCUCGGAAAGUUAAGUGCAGGGCAAAGACCCAGAGAGGGGUUGGGAGUCGGGGCAAGUAUGUGCCUCGCCUGGAGGGAUUUUUGAAAUUAGUAUGGUGCAAGGGGUAUUAUCCUGGAACAGGUUAUUUGGACGCAUCAAAGGAAGGGCUUACUUUUUAUCAUGGGAUUCACGUGUGCAGGGCA
Lepidothrix coronata (blue-crowned manakin) is the source of this 645-nucleotide long non-coding RNA. RefSeq lists it as uncharacterized. The transcript has 7 exons. NCBI's taxonomy places the organism in Eukaryota, Metazoa, Chordata, Aves, Passeriformes, Pipridae. The record is from RefSeq and is a predicted model, not a curated record.